RNAcentral lists this ribosomal RNA (565 nucleotides) under uncultured bacterium. RNAcentral's name for it is "bacterial SSU rRNA". It matches the Rfam family "Bacterial small subunit ribosomal RNA", at positions 338 to 916 of the family's 1533-position model. The record is from RNAcentral.
CCUACGGGAGGCAGCAGUGGGGAAUCUUGCGCAAUGGGCGAAAGCCUGACGCAGCAACGCCGCGUGCGGGAUGACGGCCUUCGGGUUGUAAACCGCUUUCAGUGGGGACGAACCAAGACGGUACCCACAGAAGAAGCCCCGGCCAACUACGUGCCAGCAGCCGCGGUAACACGUAGGGGGCGAGCGUUGUCCGGAUUUAUUGGGCGUAAAGAGCUCGUAGGCGGUUCGAUAAGUCGGGUGUGAAACCUCCAGGCUCAACCUGGAGACGCCACCCGAUACUGUCGUGACUAGAGUCCAGUAGGGGAGCGUGGAAUUCCUGGUGUAGCGGUGAAAUGCGCAGAUAUCAGGAGGAACACCAGUGGCGAAGGCGGCGCUCUGGGCUGGAACUGACGCUGAGGAGCGAAAGCGUGGGGAGCGAACAGGAUUAGAUACCCUGGUAGUCCACGCCGUAAACGUUGGGUACUAGGUGUGGGGUCUUAUCAACAGAUUCCGUGCCGCAGCUAACGCAUUAAGUACCCCGCCUGGGGAGUACGGCCGCAAGGCUAAAACUCAAAGGAAUUGACGG